ACUUUGUUUUAAUAUAUUAAAAAGGAGAAUUUGAUAUUCCAUAGUAAUAAUACUUUGAAAACAUAAUUUUAAAUUCCUAAAUAUAUACCAAAGAAUUUUAAAACUGUUAUUCCUCACACCAGUUCACUUUCAGCAAUCACAAAAAAAAAAAAAUUGCAUCGCCAGUUACAUGUUAAACUUAAAAUUGUUCUUGAUUGGAUUAUAAUAAACAUGUGUAUGUUAAUGGGUUUGAGCAUUUCUUCUAUAUAUUGUUGUAGUUUCGUCGCCACAAUUUCCAUGUGGUCGCUCAUGGUAAAAAUGGUCAUAUGGCCUCGAAGGAUUCAUGCAGUUAUUCAAUGGGACGUCUUACUUUAGCGGCGUCUCUCGGAGAAAAUAUUGGAACCCCAUCAUAUAUAUUUUUAGUCAUUAGCUAUUUGUUGUAAUGAUAGAGAAAUGUCUUCUUGUUUCCUUAUUGUUAAGUUUAUAUUCAUUUGAUUCUUAAUUAUCUCUUCACUGCAUCGCCAAUAUCAAUAUAUUUGUAUAUUUCCUUUUUUUUUUUUCUUUAACUGCGUUAGAAUUUUAUCACACAUUUUAACAAUUUGAAUUGUUUUUUGAAAAUUUGAAACUCUA
Molecule: long non-coding RNA, 609 nt
Filed under: Capsella rubella
Lineage: Eukaryota; Viridiplantae; Streptophyta; Magnoliopsida; Brassicales; Brassicaceae
Description: long non-coding RNA (CRUB_LNC004423)
Source: RNAcentral